UGAGAGACUGAUCGGCCACAUUGGGACUGAGACACGGCCCAAACUCCUACGGGAGGCAGCAGUAGGGAAUCUUCCUACAAUGGACGAAAGUCUGAUGGAGCAACGCCGCGUGAGUGAAGAAGGGUUUCGGCUCGUAAAGCUCUGUUGGUAGUGAAGAAAGAUAGAGGUAGUAACUGGCCUUUAUUUGACGGUAAUUACUUAGAAAGUCACGGCUAACUACGUGCCAGCAGCCGCGGUAAUUCGUAGGUGGCAAGCGUUGUCCGGAUUUAUUGGGUGUAAAGCGAGUGCAGGCGGUUCAAUAAGUCUGAUGUGAAAGCCUUCGGCUCAACCGGAGAAUUGCAUCAGAAACUGUUGAACUUGAGUGCAGAAGAGGAGAGUGGAACUCCAUGUGUAGCGGUGGAAUGCGUAGAUAUAUGGAAGAACACCAGUGGCGAAGGCGGCUCUCUGGUCUGCAACUGACGCUGAGGCUCGAAAGCAUGGGUAGCGAACAGGAUUUAGAUACCCUGGUAGUCCAUGCCGUAAACGAUGAGUGCUAAGUGUUGGGAGGUUUCCGCCUCUCAGUGCUGCAGCUAACGCAUUAAGCACUCCGCCUGGGGAGUACGACCGCAAGGUUGAAACUCAAAGGAAUUGACGGGGGCCCGCACAAGCGGUGGAGCAUGUGGUUUAAUUCGAAGCAACGCGAAGAACCUUACCAGGUCUUGACAUCCAGUGCAAACCUAAGAGAUUAGGUGUUCCCUUCGGGGACGCUGAGACAGGUGGUGCAUGGCUGUCGUCAGCUCGUGUCGUGAGAUGUUGGGUUAAGUCCCGCAACGAGCGCAACCCUUGUCAUUAGUUGCCAUCAUUAAGUUGGGCACUCUAAUGAGACUGCCGGUGACAAACCGGAGGAAGGUGGGGAUGACGUCAAGUCAUCAUGCCCCUUAUGACCUGGGCUACACACGUGCUACAAUGGACGGUACAACGAGAAGCGAACCUGCGAAGGCAAGCGGAUCUCUUAAAGCUGUUCUCAGUUCGGACUGUAGGCUGCAACUCGCCUACACGAAGCUGGAAUCGCUAGUAAUCGCGGAUCAGCACGCCGCGGUGAAUACGUUCCCGGGCCUUGCACUCACCGCCCGUCA
This 1115-nucleotide ribosomal RNA is filed under the name uncultured bacterium. RNAcentral describes it as "bacterial SSU rRNA". It matches the Rfam family "Bacterial small subunit ribosomal RNA", at positions 293 to 1399 of the family's 1533-position model. The record is from RNAcentral.